RNA transcript from Manihot esculenta (cassava), 1676 nucleotides. It is a transcript of the gene named 3-isopropylmalate dehydratase large subunit, chloroplastic-like, with no coding region annotated. The record is from RefSeq and is a predicted model, not a curated record. NCBI's taxonomy places the organism in Eukaryota, Viridiplantae, Streptophyta, Magnoliopsida, Malpighiales, Euphorbiaceae. The transcript has 9 exons.
UCUCCAUUCCACGCCGCCUCACGUCACACAUGCCUCUGCCUCUUCUCUGAGCACUGAGCUCCACCACUUCCAUCUAGUCCACUGUCCAUCGUCCAACCAACCUCCACUCUCCUCCCGACAUCGACCGAUUAACCAUCGCGGCUAACUCGGGUUAUUAGUUAGCAACGCCGACUCCUCCUCACCUCACUAUCGCUCUCUAGUCUUUCUGUCACUGGUGGAUUUGUAGUUUUCUCCCAAGAGCCUCUUCGCGGCCUCCACACAAUCGUCGGCGUCGGUCGUCGCUCUCCACGCAAUCGUCGGUCGUCGCUCUCCAGUCCAUCGGCUCUCCGCGCCGUCAGCAACUUGGUUGUCCUCAAUCCUCUAUCUUCCUCAGCCCUCAGUCUUCCUCAGUUCAGUCCUCAGUCCUCAUCAGCAACUGUAAAAGCUUGACAAAGGAAAGUGCUACUAAUGCUACAGGGAGAUAAUUGAUCUAAUUUCGUUGAAGUGAUUGGAAUGCAUGAAUCUGAUGAUUAUUUACCAUUAGCAUCGGAUGCAGUCUAAAUUUUUUUAUCUGUUAAUCUCUGCAUAUUUAAUUGAAUUCCAUUAUAAGGGUUUGUGUAUGGUAAGUUUGUUUCCUUGUGUACUUUGUUUUCUUGUCUAGUAGUUUCAAAGAGAAACAAGUUUAUUCACAGUAUUUUCUCCAUCCAUUAGGAUUUUCAAUAUCAGCUGCUAGAUUGGGAUUGCCUAAUACUGGAUUUAUUUCCUAUGGGGAAAUGGUGGAUCAAGGGCAACUAAUCACUCAAGCUGUGUCAAUUCCUGUAAUUGGGGAUGGUGAUAAUGGCUAUGGAAAUGCCAUGAAUGUCAAAAGAACUAUCAAGGGAUUUAUAAAAGCUGGUUUUGCAGGAAUCAUUCUUGAAGAUCAGGUUUGGGACCGUGAGAAAAUUGUGGUCAUACCAGAUCAUUAUAUAUUCACUGCUGAUGAGCUUGCAAACCGUAAUGUGGACAUUUUGAGGCAUUUCUGUCUGAAACAAAAUAUAAAGCACUUCUAUGAUAUCAAAGAUCGUAGUGACUUCAAGGGCUAUACUUGCAUGGCAGGCUAGCCCUGAUUAUCAAGGUGUAUGCCAUAUUGCACUUGCACAAGAAGGUCAUUGUAGGCCAGGAGAGGUUCUGUUGGGUACAGAUUCUCACACCUGCACUGCUGGAGCAUUUGGUCAAUUUGCUACUGGAAUUGGCAUCACUGAUGCAGGUUUUGUAUUAGGAACUGGGAAGCUCCUGCUCAAGGUACCCCCAACUCUGAGAUUUGUAAUGGACGGUGAAAUGGCUGAUUAUCUGCUUGCAAAGGAUUUGAUUUUGCAAAUUAAAUCUGAGAUGUGUGCCAUAAAACCGAGGACUUUAUGGCUGCUGCUAAAGUUUUUCUAAAUUCGAAAGGUCAAGGUUCCCACAUUUCUUGUCCCUGCAACCCAGAAGGUCUGUAAUGCCGGAUCAUAAUGUGUUUCAAGUCUGCGAAUUCACCAGUUACAAAAGGAUACUGAUCUAAAGACAGAAAGAAACUGAUUUACAAAUUUAACUGUAAUAUAUUGUAAAAAUUUUCAGGUUUUGAGAUAUUUUAAGUUUCUUAGUGUUGAACUAUAGUAAUGUUUUGGACUUUUAGAUUGCAGAAUUAUGAAAUGAAGUUGAUGUGUAUAUAUUGUCUUUGA